RNAcentral lists this ribosomal RNA (412 nucleotides) under Atypoides riversi. Its description in RNAcentral is "partial 12S ribosomal RNA". Lineage: Eukaryota; Metazoa; Arthropoda; Arachnida; Araneae; Antrodiaetidae. The record is from RNAcentral.
CCAAAAUAUCAUGGCGGCCAUAUUAAUUAUUCAGAGGAACUUGUCUCAUAAUCGAUAAUCCUCGAUUAAUUUCACUAUAUUAUUCAAUUAUCUUUAUACCUCCGUCAAAAUUUUUCCUUAAAGAAAAAUUAAAAAAAUCCUUCCCACUAAUUAUAAAGUCAGGUCAAGGUGAAAUAAAAUUAGAGAAGAUUAGUUACCUAUUAAAAAUAUUAAAAGAAAAACACCCAAAAUUAAUUAGAAAAAGGAUUUGAAAGUAUUAAUUAAAUAAAAAUUAAAAAUGAAUUUAAUUAUUGGUGUACAUAUCGCCCGUCACCCUUAUCCAAAGAUAAGGUAAGUCGUAACACAGUUGAAAUAUUGGAAAAUGUUUCAAGAUAUACCUUUUAGCAAAUUAGCACUUCCUUAUAAAUGAAAA